RNAcentral lists this ribosomal RNA (253 nucleotides) under uncultured bacterium. Its description in RNAcentral is "partial 16S ribosomal RNA". It matches the Rfam family "Bacterial small subunit ribosomal RNA", at positions 524 to 776 of the family's 1533-position model. The record is from RNAcentral.
UACGUAGGGGGCUAGCGUUGUCCGGAAUCAUUGGGCGUAAAGCGCGCGUAGGCGGUCAGGUAAGUCCGGUGUGAAAGUCAAAGGCUCAACCUUUGAAUGCCGCUGGAUACUGCUUGACUUGAGUCCGGAAGGGGCGAGUGGAAUUCCUGGUGUAGCGGUGAAAUGCGCAGAUAUCAGGAAGAACACCCGUGGCGAAGGCGGUUCUCUGGGACGGUACUGACGCUGAGACGCGAAAGCGUGGGGAGCGAACAGG